Molecule: ribosomal RNA, 351 nt
Filed under: Triticum aestivum (bread wheat)
Lineage: Eukaryota; Viridiplantae; Streptophyta; Magnoliopsida; Poales; Poaceae
Description: partial small subunit ribosomal RNA
Source: RNAcentral
UUAACUAGACUUAACUAUGGGAUUAUUACACUAGUCCCUAAAGUUAAGGAUGCUAAAAAAAUUCGAAAAUUCAGGCCUAUGUGUGUGUUAAAUGUUAGUUUCAAAAUCAUUGCUAUAGUCUUGAUGAAUAGACUUAUUAAAGUGGUUAACCCUAUAUUCUCACCCAUACAAACUGCCUUCGUAAAAGGUAGAUAUAUCAAGGAAGGAGUGGUUAUUUUGCAUGAGGUUCUAAAUUCAAUUCAUACAAAAAAAUAGAAUGCUAUGUUGUUCAAAGUUGGUUUUGAAAAAACAUAUGACAAAAUUAAGUGGCCUUUUGUUCACAAAAUGCUCAGGUUGAAAAACUUCCCCUGA